Molecule: unclassified non-coding RNA, 240 nt
Filed under: soil metagenome
Description: partial contains 5.8S ribosomal RNA, internal transcribed spacer 2, and large subunit ribosomal RNA
Source: RNAcentral
AACUGAUACUACCUGCGGGAACCUGCGGAGGGAUCAUUAAAGAGUUGCAAGACUCCCAAACCAUUGUGAACGUUACCCACACCGUUGCUUCGGCGGGCGGCCCGGGCCCUGCCCGGCGCCCCCCGGCCCCUCGCGGGCGCCCGCCGGAGGUAAACCAAACUCUUGAAUUGUAUGGCCUCUCUGAGUCUUCUGUACUGAAUAAGUCAAAACUUUCAACAAUGGAUCUCUAGAUCGGAAGAG